This is a long non-coding RNA of Peromyscus eremicus (cactus mouse), 991 nucleotides long. RefSeq lists it as uncharacterized. The record is from RefSeq and is a predicted model, not a curated record. The transcript is spliced from 2 exons. Lineage: Eukaryota; Metazoa; Chordata; Mammalia; Rodentia; Cricetidae.
CAUCUUCCUGUCAACAAAGGUCUGCUUCCAGCUUUUGGCCAUCACAAACAUGUGUGUAGGUGGAAACCUGGAUAUGGUCUACAUUGGGGAAGGGGUUUUGCUUUUGUUUCUGCAGGAGAAGAAAAGCUAUGGAUACCAACAAAAUUAAUAAAAAUUUGAUUCAAACAGGAGAAACCCCUUGAUGAGGAGAAGUAAAAGAUCAUCCACCAACAUAACAUCUCCACAAGUUGUAAGAAAAAUUUAACAAUCAAAGGAUGAGGAAGAGUUCUGUUUUUGUCUUUCCAGGAUAAUGGAAAUACCCAUCUUCCAGAAAUCAUAAGGCCUUGGAUAUCCAGAUAUUUGCAGCAGAAAGAAAGAAUCUAUUGGUACCAAUCUACACAGGGUAAAAUCUCACUGUCUAACAUCUAUAUCUCUAUCGAUCUAGAAUAGUUGUGGUUCCAAUUCAAUUAUAAACCAAGCUGGCUUUGGAGAUGGAAUUGGUUCACUCCUCUAAACCCAAGUAUAUUGAUAAAAGAAAAGGUUGAGAGAUUCUUCAGUCCCAUAUCAGAACAGCCCUCUGGUGUGAGACAGAAGGAAACCAAUAAAAAGGAACCAUUGUCUUCAAGAUUCUAAUUCUUUCCAUGCUUACUCUUGAUCUCUCGGAAUCCUUUCUUAUAUGUUAUGUCCUCUUUAAAUCCAAACUCUCCAUUUUGAUAAAAAUUAAGUUUUUCCAAUAGCAAUCUCUGAAGUCUCCAGAAGGAAGAUGGGGCCCCAACAACAACAACUCUACCCAAUCCAGAAUGAUGCCAUGGCGGGGCCAAGAGAAGACCCUGAAGACCCCAGAUCCAGAUGCGCCACCUCUCUCUGUUCCUGGACCCUGGACAGUGGAGGUAGACCGAGCAGAGUUCUCCAGAGAACACCACCGGACUGCGACACACCUUCCCCAGACCCUGCAACCUACCUAUCCCUUCAUUUGUAAGUUACAUCACUAAAUAAACCUCCCUUUUAACUA